UCCGGAGGGUGCAAGCGUUAUCCGGAUUCACUGGGUUUAAAGGGUGCGUAGGUGGGUUGGUAAGUCAGUGGUGAAAUCUCCGAGCUUAACUUGGAAACUGCCAUUGAUACUAUCAGUCUUGAAUAUUGUGGAGGUCAGCGGAAUAUGUCAUGUAGCGGUGAAAUGCUUAGAUAUGACAUAGAACACCAAUUGCGAAGGCAGCUGGCUACACAUAUAUUGACACUGAGGCACGAAAGCGUGGGGAUCAAACAGG
This 253-nucleotide ribosomal RNA is filed under the name uncultured bacterium. RNAcentral's name for it is "partial 16S ribosomal RNA". It matches the Rfam family "Bacterial small subunit ribosomal RNA", at positions 524 to 776 of the family's 1533-position model. The record is from RNAcentral.